ACAUUCGCAUUGCGACCGAUCAACUCGAAAUGAGGGCCCUUGUUCUCCCAGGGUGAGGUUCAUUCAUUGCAUUCUGGGUAUGCUGACCCCUGUGAUUUCCCCAAAUGUGGGAAACUCGACUGCAUUAUUUGUGGUAGUGGGGGACUGUGUUUGUGCUUUCCUCUG
Small nuclear RNA from Pseudophryne corroboree (corroboree frog), 165 nucleotides. RefSeq annotates it as U1 spliceosomal RNA. The record is from RefSeq and is a predicted model, not a curated record. The transcript has a single exon. Lineage: Eukaryota; Metazoa; Chordata; Amphibia; Anura; Myobatrachidae.